Molecule: ribosomal RNA, 496 nt
Filed under: uncultured bacterium
Lineage: Bacteria
Description: partial 16S ribosomal RNA
Rfam family: Bacterial small subunit ribosomal RNA
Source: RNAcentral
AUUGAACGCUGGCGGAAUGCUUUACACAUGCAAGUCGAACGGUAGAGGGGGCAACCCCUCGAGAGUGGCGAACGAGUGAGUAAUAUAUCGGAACGUGCCCAGUCGUGGGGGAUAACGUAGCGAAAGUUACGCUAAUACCGCAUACGAUCUAAGGAUGAAAGCGGGGGAUCGGAAGACCUCGCGCGAUUGGAGCGGCCGAUAUCAGAUUAGGUAGUUGGUGGGGUAAAGGCUCACCAAGCCAACGAUCUGUAGCUGGUCUGAGAGGACGACCAGCCACACUGGAACUGAGACACGGUCCAGACUCCUACGGGAGGCAGCAGUGGGGAAUUUUGGACAAUGGACGCAAGUCUGAUCCAGCCAUUCCGCGUGCAGGAUGAAGGCCCUCGGGUUGUAAACUGCUUUUGUACGGAACGAAAAGGUCUCUCUUAAUACGGGGGGCUCAUGACGGUACCGUAAGAAUAAGCACCGGCUAACUACGUGCCAGCCGCCGCUGUAA